RNAcentral lists this ribosomal RNA (732 nucleotides) under uncultured Leptotrichia sp. Its description in RNAcentral is "bacterial SSU rRNA". It matches the Rfam family "Bacterial small subunit ribosomal RNA", at positions 28 to 776 of the family's 1533-position model. Lineage: Bacteria; Fusobacteriati; Fusobacteriota; Fusobacteriia; Fusobacteriales; Leptotrichiaceae. The record is from RNAcentral.
GAUGAACGCUGACAGAAUGCUUAACACAUGCAAGUCUUUGGCGAAGCUGUGCUUGCACAGCCUAGCCAAGGCGGACGGGUGAGUAACGCGUAAGGAACUUGCCCUGCAGUCAGGGAUAACAGACGGAAACGACUGAUAAGACCUGGUAAAGUCAGGCGGACUCAUGUCCAGCCUGAUGAAAAGAGAUGCUGCAGGAGAGCCUUGCGUCCUAUUAGCUUGUUGGUGGGGUAACGGCCCACCAAGGCGAUGAUAGGUAGCCGGCCUGAGAGGGUGGACGGCCACAAGGGGACUGAGAUACGGCCCUUACUCCUACGGGAGGCAGCAGUGGGGAAUAUUGGACAAUGGGGGCAACCCUGAUCCAGCAAUUCUGUGUGCACGAAGAAGGUUUUCGGAUUGUAAAGUGCUUUCAGCAGGGAAGAAAAAAAUGACGGUACCUGCAGAAGAAGCGACGGCUAAAUACGUGCCAGCAGCCGCGGUAAUACGUAUGUCGCAAGCGUUAUCCGGAAUUAUUGGGCAUAAAGGGCAUCUAGGCGGCCAGAUAAGUCUGGGGUGAAAGCUUGCGGCUCAACCGCAAGCCUGCCCUGGAAACUAUGUGGCUAGAGUACUGGAGAGGUGGACGGAACUGCACGAGUAGAGGUGAAAUUCGUAGAUAUGUGCAGGAAUGCCGAUGAUGAAGAUAGUUCACUGGACGGUAACUGACGCUGAAGUGCGAAAGCUAGGGGAGCAAACAGG